Molecule: non-coding RNA, 3478 nt
Organism: Ictidomys tridecemlineatus (thirteen-lined ground squirrel)
Lineage: Eukaryota; Metazoa; Chordata; Mammalia; Rodentia; Sciuridae
Source: RefSeq, a predicted model, not a curated record
UCAGAGGAUUCCUACCUGUAUAAAAUGCAAAAGAUCUUGACACAUCCCAAGUCCAGUCUGUAGCUGUCACGAAAUGAGAUCCACCUGAGAGAUCUAAAUUGCAAGGCAUAUAAACUUUAUUUGGAUUGGCCAGCACACAAGAACUAGAAAAGGCUCAAAUGUCUCAGCAACUGCAAUUACUAUCACCAGGUUGCAAGUUGGCAGGCUUUAGAGGCACCUGAAACAGAUAGAACUAAUUGCUUCCUCCUUUGACUCUCACUAGAUUUUAUGCAUGCUAUCAUCUCAUUACCAGGCCUUUUUAAGUUUGGGGGAUUAAAUUUGGAAGAAGAUGAAGGGAUUCCAGGGACCAGAAGGAACACCACCCUAGCCUUCAGGACCACGGACAGUGACAUGCAUGCCUGGUAUGAGCAGAACCAGACACUUUGAUCUGGCCAUACCAACAGCUCAAGGAAUUUACCAUUGACAGGACAAGGAGUGCUCACCAAAUCCAAAGGCACUGAUGAAUUCAUACUAAGGGGUUAUUGCUAGUACAUUAAGAUGUACAGCAAAAUAAUACAUAUUUUUAGAGAGACCCAAAGGCAGAAGUAGUUAGAUCUACCCAAGUGGGGGCGUGGUCAUGGAGCUGGAUCUUGGAAGGUGGAGCCUGUGGAUUAGGGAGGCCCUGAACAUUCCAGGCAAGAGAAGCUCAUACACAAAGCCCUGUUCCAGCUUCUUCUCUCUGAUCUCUGUGUUCUCUCCAGACAGAGAGCCUGUUCUGCAUCUCUGAGGACUUGUGGCUGCUCAUGAACUGACCUGCCAUGAGUCCAAAUUCUCAGGGCAGGAGUCUAAUCUUUUAUUAAAAGGAUACAGCUAGCCUUUGAAGGCAAAGAAUGGAUCUAUAAAUGUUCAGAAGAAACUGAGUGAUAAGGGUGGAUUCAUCUCAGCAUGCUGGCUCUUAACUCUAGCUGUAUCUCUUUUAUAACAACUGGAUCCACUGGGUGGAAAUUCUAACUCGAGACACCAUGGAGGGCCCAGUUAAUGAUCUGGGUGUCCCACGUGUCUGAGCAUAUUCUCUCAAAGUCCGCUUUUGGAGUCUUCAACUUAUCUCAUUACCCUCACCGUUCCCAGGAUAAGCCUGGCCAUUUGCUUAGUCAUCAACGUAUUUGAUUAAUAUGUACUGAGCUCCCAGAAUAUUCCAAGCACUGUGCAGACUGGUGAAGAGGCAACAGAGGCCAAACUCCCGGUCUUGACCCUCAUGGGUUCCCAAUCCAAUAGAGGAGACAGAGUCAUGUCAAGUCACAUAUAGAUAUUCACCACAAAAGUCUACAACCAGAUGAAGAGUUACAACCUGGAGCUACUGCCAAGCUCACCACAGAGUUCUAUGACCAUGGGACUCUGCAGGAGUCACUAGGCUGUUCUGCUCAAGCUGUGUAGCCCCCAUCCAGGGUGGAGGUUAUCCCACCUCGCCACGGUCUCUUUGGCUCUGCCCUGAGACCUAGAGUGUGCCCCAUUCACUAGGGACAGCACUGGUUGGGUCGAACAGCCAGCCCAGCACAUGUUUAACAAUGCAGUCCUCAGAGAGGAGGCGACUUUACUAACCCUGCACAGAGAGCAGUGGCUUUUACUCAGGAUAAGGCUGGGACUAUCAGGAAUUCAGCAAAGGUCUUGUAGUUGUGGCCAGACUCUCCAAAUCAGGUUCCCCCCCCCAUGGGUCUCAGUCCAAGCACAGCAGGUAAAGUGACCCCCACCUUCAGUCUCUGGCCCCUCGCACGCAAAGAAGUAGCUUUUCAAAAACCCAUUCAAUGUGGCAGCUACUUUACAUAACUUAGCUUAUUUUCUGUAAUCCUAAUCACAGCCCUGAGAUAAUUGCUGUAAUUCCCAUUAUAGAGAGAACAAUGAAGUUUGCAGAGUUAGACAAUUUACCCCCAGGUCACAGAGAUUGUCAGUAGCAGAACAGGGAUUUAAACACUUGUGCAAUUCUAAAGCUCCUGUUUUCUCCACUGCAUAUGAUGCCUCCCCUGGAACUGAGGAGAGACAGGGAAGCCACUCAGAUGCUAGGCACAGAGCACUCUUCAGAGCAUGCUCAGUGGGCCAAGAACUGAGAGACAGUCCUCAAGCAGCCAGCCCACAGAAGACAUUGAACAUCCAACCAACACUUUAUACAAGCCCUGACGUCAUCCUUGACAUCAUCCUUUGUGUCAUCCUUUGUGAAUGCACGCACGUACCUCAUCCCAAGUAAUGCUUCUUACAAACCCAGCAAGUCAGUGUUUCGAGACCUUCAGUUCCUUUUUGACGACUGAAUCUCCAGACCAUUCAAGGGCUGGAAGGACGCAGCAGGUGGUGGCAGGGCCAGGGCUGACUUCCAUUCGUCCUGCCCCCAGGUCUGCCCUCUCUUCAGCAUGCAGCCUCACCUCUGCAUGGGAGAUGGAGGGAAGAGGACAGGUAUUCCUCAAGAUGUGGCCAUGGGGAGGGUGUUUGGGGAUGGGCCUUUGAGACCAAGGGCCAGUCCGUGGGGCCUGCAGGAAGAGACAGGAUGCUGCAGAGGAGGAAGAGAACUGUGGCAGCAUAAGCCAUGAGCCAGGAAGGAGUGAGGCUGAGGGCCAGAGAAACUCCAGUAGCCCAGGAGAGAGAUUCUGGAGACUUGCCCGGGGCUGCAACUGAAAUGAUAGGAGACAACCUCAAGAAAAGAGUUAUGGGAGGUGUGUUGUGUUGCAUACAACAGUCCCCAGCUAAUUAUUGCAUGAGCAAAAACAGAAGCCUAUUUAACAACUUACUGGCCAGAGUCAGGGACAGAACACACUUAAAAGUUCUCCCAAGAAAAUUAAUUUGGGCAGCAGAGAAAGGACAGAACUGGAGGGAGUUCUGUCCUCCUCCCAGGGAGGAGAGGGCUGGACUCAAAGAGGUCUGCAAGGCAAGGCCAAGGUAAAGUUGGUGCCCAAGGAAAAGUGUGUUAUCAGUGUAUAAAUAGUCACAAAGUCAGGGAAAGCUGUCAUCGCUGGCAGCCUCAGAAUCCAAGGCAAGAGAUAGCAAGAAACUUUGAGCAGACUUGCAGGCAGACGUCAUAGACAGUUAGAGUGGAAGGAACCUUAGGAAAUGCCAAGUCUGACGUCCUCUCUUUAGGGAUGGGGAAACUGAGGCCCUGGACAUGUAAAGCGACCUGCCCCAAGUCACACCCCUGGGGAUCAGUUCCCGAAACUUCUGGUUCCAGAUCCACGCUCCUUCCCACCCACCAAGCAAGGACCUCUCCCCCAACAACCCCACUGCCCCCCCUGACUAAAUAUUAUCUGAUCCUUGACUUGAAGACAGAAGAGACAGCUAACUAAAGUAUGCAAUCUUUAAAUGUCAGUUCAGAAUAGCAUAUUAACAUAAUCCCCAGAUGGAGGCAUUAGCAUUUGUACUCUCUAUAUUGCCUGCUGGAACUUGCUGACAUGUCUAAAAUCAAAAAUGUUACUACUGCCCAAGGUGGCAGGGAGCCAUCCAAGGAAUACAGGGAGGAUAG